Molecule: ribosomal RNA, 658 nt
Filed under: Phoebis sennae (cloudless sulphur butterfly)
Lineage: Eukaryota; Metazoa; Arthropoda; Insecta; Lepidoptera; Pieridae
Description: partial large subunit ribosomal RNA
Source: RNAcentral
AUAUUUGCCGAAUUCCUUUUAUUUAAUUUUUUAUUUAUUUUACAAAUUUAUUUUUAAAUAUACUAAUUUUAUCAUUAUAUCUAAUAUUAUUAAAUUAAAUAUUAUUUUUUUAUAAAAAUUUAAAUUAUUAUUAAAUUUUAAAAUAAAUAAAAUUAUUUAUAAAAAAUAAUAAUUUUUAAAAAAUUUAAAUUUUAAAAAUUUUAAAUUUAAUUUACAUAUAAUUAUAAAAAUUUAAUUUAAAGCUUAUCCCUUAAAAUAUUUAAUUAACUUUUCUUAUAUAUUAAUAAAUUAAUAUAUAAAAAUAAUUAAUUUAAAAUUAAAUUUUUUUCUAAAAAAACUAGAUAUAUUUAAAAACGAUUAACAUUUCAUUUCAAAUUAAUUAUUUAAAAUAAUUAUAUAACAUUAACUUUAUUAAUUAAUUAUCUCUUUUAAAUUCGAGAUAUUUUUAUCUUAAAAUAUUAUUUAAUAAACUCUGAUACACAAGAUACAAUAAAUUAAAUUUACUUUUCUAAUAAUUUAUUUUCAAAAUUUUUCAAAAUUCUUUCACAAUACUAUUUCACUAUAAAUUUAAAAAUUUUUUCUAAAAAAAUACUUUAACCCCCAUUAAAUAUUAAUUUAAAAUUAUUUUUAUUAUAUUUAUAACUUUAAUUUUCCCCUA